AGCUCAACUUAUGGCUAAAACACCUAAACUGACUCUGUUAUGACGGGCCACAUGUAUCACUGAAUUGAGUGCCCAGUUUGACCACUAUAAUGGUAAUAUUAUGUUCUGAGUUCUUCAUGAGAGUUGAUGCCCUAUGUCUUGAGACUUCUCUGGUUGUGGAUUGGUUUGAUUUGAGUAUCUGGAUAAGUAGGAAUUUGAUAAACAUUGGGAUUAGUUCUGCUGAAUCAGGUCUGGACUAUUGGUCUGUGUUCCUAGCCAUUUUUCACCAUCUUACAGAUUGAUCUGGGCUAUUGUCCCU
Molecule: long non-coding RNA, 298 nt
Filed under: Jatropha curcas
Lineage: Eukaryota; Viridiplantae; Streptophyta; Magnoliopsida; Malpighiales; Euphorbiaceae
Description: long non-coding RNA (JCUR_LNC002287)
Source: RNAcentral